This 306-nucleotide long non-coding RNA is filed under the name Pan troglodytes (chimpanzee). RNAcentral's name for it is "long non-coding RNA NONPTRT001241". Lineage: Eukaryota; Metazoa; Chordata; Mammalia; Primates; Hominidae. The record is from RNAcentral.
CCUGAGAGAUCAGGAGAAGAAAGUCUCCUUGUCUUUUCAAAUGGUGCUCUUACUCUCUGUUCAACCAUCUUGCUCACACCUGGUUAGUGAGAACCCUUAGUGAUGGUGACAGUGAUGAUGAUGGCUAACAUUUAUUAAGCACACUUCACCAGCAUCUUCUCACUUAAUAUUCACAAGAACCCUGGGAGGUAGACACUGUCAUCGCAUCCAUUUUCAGAUGAUGAAACUGAGGAACGGAGACAUUAAGUGCCAAGUUCAUGCAACUAGACAUGGCGGGUGUCAUAUAUUGAUUUAUUUAACAAACAU